UACGGAGGGUGCAAGCGUUAUCCGGAUUUACUGGGUUUAAAGGGUGCGUAGGUGGGCCUGUAAGUCAGUGGUGAAAUCUCCGGGCUUAACCCGGAAACUGCCAUUGAUACUAUAGGUCUUGAAUUAUCUGGAGGUGAGCGGAAUAUGUCAUGUAGCGGUGAAAUGCUUAGAUAUGACAUAGAACACCAAUUGCGAAGGCAGCUCACUACGGAUAUAUUGACACUGAGGCAC
RNAcentral lists this ribosomal RNA (231 nucleotides) under uncultured bacterium. RNAcentral's name for it is "partial 16S ribosomal RNA". It matches the Rfam family "Bacterial small subunit ribosomal RNA", at positions 524 to 754 of the family's 1533-position model. The record is from RNAcentral.